This 495-nucleotide ribosomal RNA is filed under the name uncultured bacterium. RNAcentral describes it as "partial 16S ribosomal RNA". It matches the Rfam family "Bacterial small subunit ribosomal RNA", at positions 28 to 507 of the family's 1533-position model. The record is from RNAcentral.
GACGAACGCUGGCGGCGUGCCUAAUACAUGCAAGUAGAACGCUGAAGGAGGAGCUUGCUUCUCUGGAUGAGUUGCGAACGGGUGAGUAGCGCGUAGGUAACCUGCCUGGUAGCGGGGGAUAACUAUUGGAAACGAUAGCUAAUACCGCAUAAUAGUAGAUGUUGCAUGACAUUUGCUUAAAAGGUGCAAUUGCAUCACUACCAGAUGGACCUGCGUUGUAUUAGCUAGUUGGUGGGGUAACGGCUCACCAAGGCGACGAUACAUAGCCGACCUGAGAGGGUGAGCGGCCACACUGGGACUGAGACACGGCCCAGACUCCUACGGGAGGCAGCAGUAGGGAAUCUUCGGCAAUGGACGGAAGUCUGACCGAGCAACGCCGCGUGAGUGAAGAAGGUUUUCGGAUCGUAAAGCUCUGUUGUAAGAGAAGAACGAGUGUGAGAGUGGAAAGUUCACACUGUGACGGUAUCUUACCAGAAAGGGACGGCUAACUACGUG